GCCCUUGUAGCUCAAUGGAUAGAGCGACAGGUUUCUACCCUGUGGGUUGAGGGUUCAAGUCCUUCCAAGGGCG
This 73-nucleotide transfer RNA is filed under the name Bacillus phage vB_BanS-Thrax1. It matches the Rfam family "tRNA". Rfam says of the family: Transfer RNA (tRNA) molecules are approximately 80 nucleotides in length. Their secondary structure includes four short double-helical elements and three loops (D, anti-codon, and T loops). The record is from Rfam by way of RNAcentral. Lineage: Duplodnaviria; Heunggongvirae; Uroviricota; Caudoviricetes.